Molecule: ribosomal RNA, 450 nt
Filed under: uncultured bacterium
Lineage: Bacteria
Description: partial 16S ribosomal RNA
Rfam family: Bacterial small subunit ribosomal RNA
Source: RNAcentral
GUGAGGAAUUUUCCGCAAUGGGCGAAAGCCUGACGGAGCAAUGCCGCGUGAAGGAAGAAGGCCUUCGGGUUGUAAACUGCUUUUGUCAGGGAAGAAAUCUUCUGGGCUAAUACCCCGGGAGGAUGACGGUACCUGAAGAAUAAGCACCGGCUAACUACGUGCCAGCAGCCGCGGUAAUACGUAGGGUGCGAGCGUUAAUCGGAAUUACUGGGCGUAAAGCGUGCGCAGGCGGUUAUGUAAGACAGAUGUGAAAUCCCCGGGCUCAACCUGGGAACUGCAUUUGUGACUGCAUGACUGGAGUGCGGCAGAGGGGGAUGGAAUUCCGCGUGUAGCAGUGAAAUGCGUAGAUAUGCGGAGGAACACCGAUGGCGAAGGCAAUCCCCUGGGCCUGCACUGACGCUCAUGCACGAAAGCGUGGGGAGCAAACAGGAUUAGAUACCCGUGUAGUCC